Melampsora americana is the source of this 88-nucleotide non-coding RNA. NCBI's taxonomy places the organism in Eukaryota, Fungi, Basidiomycota, Pucciniomycetes, Pucciniales, Melampsoraceae. The record is from the annotation of a GenBank genome assembly.
GCUGGCUUAGAUCAAUGGUAGAUCGUCUCCCUCCUAUCCUGAGUUAUGAUAGAGGAGAAGGUUGCGGGUUCGAGUCCCGUGGUUAGUG